UACAGGUUCUGGGCACAUCUCAUUGAUGGAGCAACUCUAAGCAAUCCCCUAGUUCAGCUUCACCCCGGCCCUCCCCUCCUUCCCACUUCUGCCCUCGCUGCUGCAAGAUGCCCCCUCUGCACGAGUGACAUCCCCCACCACCCUGGUCCUCCCUGGCUGUUGAGGAGGUUCAGCAUCUCACCUGAGCACAGGACCCUCCUGCAGGGCCAGCACCAUGUGCUCUGGGAGAUGGCACAAGCAGCAGGAGAAGAUGUGGAGAUGAUCCUCGUUUCUUAAAGCCUGAAGCAUAAAGCUCUCUGUUAAUGCCAGCGCUGCAUGUUUUCCUUCUGUGCACACAAACACGGUUUUUCAUUGAUUAAAAUAACUCUGAAGAA
RNAcentral lists this long non-coding RNA (374 nucleotides) under Strigops habroptila (Kakapo). RNAcentral describes it as "lncRNA (ENSSHBG00005018200.1)". The record is from RNAcentral. Lineage: Eukaryota; Metazoa; Chordata; Aves; Psittaciformes; Psittacidae.